UGAGAGUGUUCUGAAAGAGAGAGAAUUUACCAUAAAUGAGAAAAAAGAAAAAGAAAAAUGAAAGAUGAAUAUAAAGGUUAAGUACAAUCAUACAACACAUUUCAAAUUCAAGCCUUUAUACUGAAAAAAGAAUUGUCUUUCCUCUAAUAAUAAACAAGGGUCCUAUUUUGAGUGUCUGGUCAUCAUAACAGUGUCUGGGGGCUAAAUGCAAUGAGCUCAACUCAUUACUGCUCUGAGUACAUGUUUCCUUUUGCCUGGUGAUGUCCCCAGUCCCCAGGCUCCCUGUCCAGCACAGCCUGGCCUGUAGAUUUACUGAGAUCAGACAAGCAAUGCAGCAGCAAAUACUGAAAAGAAAUAGCUUGGAAAAACAGCUUUGGAAAAUCCCUCCCCUCCAAAUCUAGCUCUGGGCUGGGGUCAGCUGCCCUCCUUGCCCUGAAGCUUGUCACCUCAGUCAGACACCUUUGUUACCACACAAAGCCCUGCAAUGCAGCAGCAAGGCAUCCUCGUGCCAUACUGACAGCAUUACAACAGGCAGCAGAGAUCCACCACCACACCCUACAUCUCCUGCCAGGGUACAUGCAGCGGCAGUGAAAAUUUGCAGGAUUUCAACAGCGUAACAGGAAAUUUCACCCAUUCAUUUCACUGGCAAUGCUGCAAGAUACUUCACAACCAGCACCUUUUGUGCUCAAGUACCGCUAACAACAGAGGCAAAUGCACUUUCCAUCUGCUUAUCAUUAUGGUGAAGAAAAGAGGAGCUAAAUUAGAGGCAACAAGUGCAAUAGUAAGCAGCAAAACAACAGGAGAGGUGUAGUGAACAGUCAGUCAUUUUCAGAUCAGCCAUAGAAGAGUAGGAGUACAACUGUGCAUGAAAGAUUUCAGUUGGAAGAAGCUUUGGAUACAAUCUUCCAGAAGGAACCAACACCUUGUAAGGAUAAAAUUAGAGAUGAGAUGUUAAUUUCUGAAAUCCAAAUCUGUUGCUAAAAUGUGAAUAAACAAAAUGAUCUGCCAAUUUUAUGACCCA
This 1021-nucleotide long non-coding RNA is filed under the name Phasianus colchicus (ring-necked pheasant). Its description in RNAcentral is "lncRNA (ENSPCLG00000002424.1)". The record is from RNAcentral. Lineage: Eukaryota; Metazoa; Chordata; Aves; Galliformes; Phasianidae.